GAUGAACGCUGGCGGCGUGCCUAAUACAUGCAAGUCGAGCGAACAGACGAGGAGCUUGCUCCUCUGACGUUAGCGGCGGACGGGUGAGUAACACGUGGAUAACCUACCUAUAAGACUGGGAUAACUUCGGGAAACCGGAGCUAAUACCGGAUAAUAUAUUGAACCGCAUGGUUCAAUAGUGAAAGACGGUUUUGCUGUCACUUAUAGAUGGAUCCGCGCCGCAUUAGCUAGUUGGUAAGGUAACGGCUUACCAAGGCAACGAUGCGUAGCCGACCUGAGAGGGUGAUCGGCCACACUGGAACUGGGCCACGGUCCAGACUCCUACGGGAGGGAGCAGUAGGGAAUCUUCCGCAAUGGGCGAAAGCCUGACGGAGCAACGCCGCGUGAGUGAUGAAGGUCUUCGGAUCGUAAAACUCUGUUAUUAGGGAAGAACAAAUGUGUAAGUAACUAUGCACGUCUUGACGGUACCUAAUCAGAAAGCCACGGCUAACUACGUG
This 497-nucleotide ribosomal RNA is filed under the name uncultured bacterium. RNAcentral's name for it is "partial 16S ribosomal RNA". It matches the Rfam family "Bacterial small subunit ribosomal RNA", at positions 28 to 507 of the family's 1533-position model. The record is from RNAcentral.